Molecule: non-coding RNA, 26 nt
Filed under: Rattus norvegicus (Norway rat)
Lineage: Eukaryota; Metazoa; Chordata; Mammalia; Rodentia; Muridae
Source: RNAcentral
UAAAUCUCAACUUUGCAUGAGGGCCC